This 253-nucleotide ribosomal RNA is filed under the name uncultured bacterium. RNAcentral describes it as "partial 16S ribosomal RNA". It matches the Rfam family "Bacterial small subunit ribosomal RNA", at positions 524 to 776 of the family's 1533-position model. The record is from RNAcentral.
UACAGAGGUCUCAAGCGUUGUUCGGAUUCAUUGGGCGUAAAGGGUGCGUAGGCGGCGCGGUAAGUCGGGUGUGAAAUCUUGGAGCUUAACUCCGAAACUGCAUUCGAUACUGCCGUGCUUGAGGACUGGAGAGGAGACUGGAAUUUACGGUGUAGCGGUGAAAUGCGUAGAUAUCUGCAGGAACACCCGUGGCGAAGGCGGCCCCCUGGGCCGAACCUGACGCUGAGGCGCGAAGGCUAGGGGAGCGAACGGG